RNAcentral lists this ribosomal RNA (399 nucleotides) under uncultured Gammaproteobacteria bacterium. RNAcentral's name for it is "bacterial SSU rRNA". It matches the Rfam family "Bacterial small subunit ribosomal RNA", at positions 70 to 476 of the family's 1533-position model. Lineage: Bacteria; Pseudomonadati; Pseudomonadota; Gammaproteobacteria. The record is from RNAcentral.
AACAUGUCUAGCUUGCUAGAUGAUGUCGAGUGGCGGACGGGUGAGUAAUGCUUGGGAACUUGCCUUUGCGAGGGGGAUAACAGUUGGAAACGACUGCUAAUACCGCAUAAUGUCUUCGGACCAAACGGGGCUUAGGCUCCGGCGCAAAGAGAGGCCCAAGUGAGAUUAGCUAGUUGGUGAGGUAAAGGCUCACCAAGGCAACGAUCUCUAGCUGUUCUGAGAGGAAGAUCAGCCACACUGGGACUGAGACACGGCCCAGACUCCUACGGGAGGCAGCAGUGGGGAAUAUUGCACAAUGGGGGAAACCCUGAUGCAGCCAUGCCGCGUGUGUGAAGAAGGCCUUCGGGUUGUAAAGCACUUUCAGUUGUGAGGAAAAGUUAGUAGUUAAUACCUGCUAGC